AACGAACGCUGGCGGCAGGCCUAACACAUGCAAGUCGAGCGCUCAUCUUCGGAUGGGAGCGGCGCACGGGUGAGUAACACGUGGGAACCUACCUUGAAGUAUGGAAUAACUGAGGGAAACUUCAGCUAAUACCGUAUACGCCCUACGGGGGAAAGAUUUAUCGCUUCAAGACGGGCCCGCGUUGGAUUAGCUAGUUGGUGAGGUAAUGGCUCACCAAGGCGACGAUCCAUAGCUGAUUUGAGAGAAUGAUCAGCCACACUGGGACUGAGACACGGCCCAGACUCCUACGGGAGGCAGCAGUGGGGAAUAUUGGACAAUGGGCGCAAGCCUGAUCCAGCCAUGCCGCGUGAGUGAUGAAGGCCUUCGGGUUGUAAAGCUCUUUCAGAUGGGACGAUGAUGACGGUACCAUCAGAAGAAGCCCCGGCUAACUUCGUGCCAGCAGCCGCGGUAAUACGAAGGGGGCUAGCGUUGUUCGGAAUUACUGGGCGUAAAGCGCGCGUAGGCGGCUUUGUCAGUCAGGGGUGAAAUCCCGGGGCUUAACCUCGGAACUGCCUUUGAUACUGCAAGGCUUGAGUCUGUGAGAGGAUGGUGGAAUACCCAGUGUAGAGGUGAAAUUCGU
This 619-nucleotide ribosomal RNA is filed under the name uncultured Alphaproteobacteria bacterium. Its description in RNAcentral is "bacterial SSU rRNA". It matches the Rfam family "Bacterial small subunit ribosomal RNA", at positions 28 to 691 of the family's 1533-position model. Lineage: Bacteria; Pseudomonadati; Pseudomonadota; Alphaproteobacteria. The record is from RNAcentral.